GAGAGAGAAGCAUUGUGAGAACAGAUGUCCUGGGUGAGGUGCCCCCUGGGCAGCCAUCUGCCUUCACCCUGGAGGAAACAUGCUUCCAGCGGGGACUGCAAAGUAACACCCUGGUUGGCCCUUUCCCCACAACAGCUGCCCUGUGCGGUUGGGGAAGCGGCUGUCACAGAUGAAUUCACAGAUGAAUCGGCAGAGUGCGCUGAUACAAAGCUUUUUGUCGAUAAAGAUACGAUUGUUAAUGCUGUCGGGGCAUCGCACGACAUCCACCUCCUGAAGAUUGACAAUCGAGAAGAUGAGCUGGUGACCAGAAUCAACUCUUGGUGUACACGUUUAAUAGACAAGAUUCACAAGGAUGAGAUCAUGAGGAACCGCAAGCGCGUGAAGGAGAUCAAUCAGUACAUCGACCACAUGCAGAGCGAACUGGACAACCUGGAAUGUGGCGACAUCCUAGACUAGAUGAAUGUCAGCCACAGGAGCUUCUUCAAAACAUAGCACCAGCCCCAGCCAGGAGAAGGAAGUGCACACGCCUCACCCAGCACCUCUAGAGAGUUGCUGGGCAUCUCUCAACCGCGAUCCCCAACACCAUUCUUCCCCCACCCCUGGAAAAACUUCCAAAAGUAGAGAAAAUAAAGGACUCAUUUCACAUUUCCCCUACUCAUAAAAAAAAAAAAAAAA
Molecule: small RNA, 675 nt
Filed under: Pan troglodytes (chimpanzee)
Lineage: Eukaryota; Metazoa; Chordata; Mammalia; Primates; Hominidae
Description: processed transcript
Source: RNAcentral